UACGUAGGGUGCAAGCGUUGUCCGGAAUUAUUGGGCGUAAAGAGCUCGUAGGCGGUUUGUCGCGUCUGCUGUGAAAACCCGAGGCUCAACCUCGGGCCUGCAGUGGGUACGGGCAGACUAGAGUGCGGUAGGGGAGAUUGGAAUUCCUGGUGUAGCGGUGAAAUGCGCAGAUAUCGGGAGGAACACCAGUGGCGAAGGCGGCACUCUGGGCCAGUACUGACACUGAGGAGCGAAAGCGUGGGGAGCGAACAGG
This 253-nucleotide ribosomal RNA is filed under the name uncultured bacterium. Its description in RNAcentral is "partial 16S ribosomal RNA". It matches the Rfam family "Bacterial small subunit ribosomal RNA", at positions 524 to 776 of the family's 1533-position model. The record is from RNAcentral.